Molecule: RNase P RNA, 320 nt
Filed under: Monoglobus pectinilyticus
Lineage: Bacteria; Bacillati; Bacillota; Clostridia; Monoglobales; Monoglobaceae
Description: Bacterial RNase P class A
Rfam family: Bacterial RNase P class A
About the family: Ribonuclease P (RNase P) is a ubiquitous endoribonuclease, found in archaea, bacteria and eukarya as well as chloroplasts and mitochondria.
Source: RNAcentral
ACCAGAUGGUUGCGCGGCCUAAUCGGCCGUGAGGAAAGUCCGAGCUCCAUAGGGCAGAGUGCAAGCUAACGGCUUGUGGAGGCGACUCUAAGGACAGUGCAACAGAAAUAUACCGCCUGUUUUAAACAGGUAAGGGUGGAAAGGCGAGGUAAGAGCUCACCCAUUGAUAUGGCGACUUAUCAAUGCUGUAAACCCCACUCGGAGCAACACCUGAAUCGAAGGCUAAGCCGGCCCGGCAUCUUCGGAGAUUGGUGGCUAGAGGCGUGUGGCGACACACGUUCGAGAUAGAUAAUCAUCAUUGACAGAACUCGGCUUAUUGU